RNAcentral lists this ribosomal RNA (304 nucleotides) under uncultured bacterium. Its description in RNAcentral is "bacterial SSU rRNA". It matches the Rfam family "Bacterial small subunit ribosomal RNA", at positions 403 to 724 of the family's 1533-position model. The record is from RNAcentral.
GAGCGAAGAAGUAUUUCGGUAUGUAAAGCUCUAUCAGCAGGGAAGAAAAUGACGGUACCUGACUAAGAAGCACCGGCUAAAUACGUGCCAGCAGCCGCGGUAAUACGUAUGGUGCAAGCGUUAUCCGGAUUUACUGGGUGUAAAGGGAGCGUAGACGGAUGGGCAAGUCUGAUGUGAAAACCCGGGGCUCAACCCCGGGACUGCAUUGGAAACUGUUCAUCUAGAGUGCUGGAGAGGUAAGUGGAAUUCCUAGUGUAGCGGUGAAAUGCGUAGAUAUUAGGAGGAACACCAGUGGCGAAGGCGG